UACGAAGGGUGCGAGCGUUAAUCGGAAUUACUGGGCGUAAAGCGCGCGUAGGUGGUUUGGUAAGCGAUAUGUGAAAUCCCCGGGCUUAACCUGGGAACUGCAUGUCGAACUGCCAGGCUAGAGUAUGGUAGAGGGGUGUGGAAUUUCCUGUGUAGCGGUGAAAUGCGUAGAUAUUGGGAGGAACACCAGUGGCGAAGGCGGCUCACUGGACUGGUACUGACGCUGAUGCGCGAAAGCGUGGGGAGCAAACAGG
RNAcentral lists this ribosomal RNA (253 nucleotides) under uncultured prokaryote. RNAcentral's name for it is "partial 16S ribosomal RNA". It matches the Rfam family "Bacterial small subunit ribosomal RNA", at positions 524 to 776 of the family's 1533-position model. The record is from RNAcentral.